GGUGUACUGGAAAGUGUACCUGAUC
RNAcentral lists this ribosomal RNA (25 nucleotides) under Fredericella browni. RNAcentral's name for it is "partial 12S ribosomal RNA". RNAcentral also lists the same sequence under 1 other name. The record is from RNAcentral. Lineage: Eukaryota; Metazoa; Bryozoa; Phylactolaemata; Fredericellidae.